CAAUAAGCGGAGGAAAAGAAACUAACUAGGAUUCCCUUAGUAGCGGCGAGCGAACCGGGAUCAGCCCAACUUGUAAAUCAUUAGCUCUUGGCUAAUUGAAUUGUAGUCUCAAGAUGCGAUCUCUGCAGCUAGCAGUGCCCAAUUUUCCUUGGAAAAGGGAGUCAGAGAGGGUGAGAACCCCGUCGGCACUUGCCUCAGCUGCUCCACGAGGCGUUUUCUCAGAGUCGGGUUGCUUGGGAAUGCAGCCCUAAGUAGGUGGUAAAUCCCAUCUAAGGCUAAAUACUGACGGGAGACCGAUAGCGAACAAGUACCGUGAGGGAAAGAUGAAAAGAACUUUGAAAAGAGAGUCAAAAGUGCUUGAAAUUGUUGAGGGGGAAGGAAUUGGAAGCCGUUUGUGCGCCCGGGUUUAAGUGGGCAAUUCUGCCUGUUGUACGCCUUGGGUGCCGGUCAGCAUCGGCUACUGGACCGGGAUAAUAACUUUCCAUUGGAAGGUGCAUGCCGGCCCGGUGGCCGAGGAUUUGAAAGGCGCUCUUUGAGUCCUUCGGGAACUGCGCCUUCAAGAUGCUGGCAGAAGGCCUUCAAUUCGCCC
RNAcentral lists this ribosomal RNA (589 nucleotides) under uncultured Trebouxiophyceae. RNAcentral describes it as "partial large subunit ribosomal RNA". It matches the Rfam family "Eukaryotic large subunit ribosomal RNA", at positions 44 to 650 of the family's 3401-position model. The record is from RNAcentral. Lineage: Eukaryota; Viridiplantae; Chlorophyta; Trebouxiophyceae.